AGGGGAGGGAGGGAAGAAAGAGGAGAAAGGGAGGGGGCGAAGGAUGGGUGGCACUGAUAGACCGCCGGACCUUACGGUCAUCAUCCCAGCACUUGGAGGAAGAGGCAGGAGGACCUCCGUGAGUUUGAGAACAGAGCUCAAGGCAAGCCAGGGCUACGUGGCAAGACCCCGACUACAAAACAAAGCAUCCCCCAAACCCAAAACAGGCCCUAAGGGUCCCGAGGCGCAUCAGGAAGGGAGGCAGCUUUGCCACGCCGUCGUCAUGGAGGCAGAGGGUCAAGGGUCAGGUCCGCCCUCUAGGAAAGAAGUUUCAGCCUCUGGUUUUGUGCCAAGGGCAGAGUGACAUGGACUUAGUCCCUCUGCUUGGUUCCUGGAACACAGUAGAUGCUCAAUAAAUAUUUGUCAAAGGAA
Molecule: non-coding RNA, 411 nt
Organism: Cricetulus griseus (Chinese hamster)
Lineage: Eukaryota; Metazoa; Chordata; Mammalia; Rodentia; Cricetidae
Source: RefSeq, a predicted model, not a curated record